This 253-nucleotide ribosomal RNA is filed under the name uncultured bacterium. RNAcentral describes it as "partial 16S ribosomal RNA". It matches the Rfam family "Bacterial small subunit ribosomal RNA", at positions 524 to 776 of the family's 1533-position model. The record is from RNAcentral.
UACGUAGGGUGCGAGCGUUGUCCGGAAUUAUUGGGCGUAAAGGGCUCGUAGGCGGUUUGUCGCGUCGGGAGUGAAAACCUUGGGCUUAACUCAGGGCCUGCUUUCGAUACGGGCAGACUAGAGGUAUGCAGGGGAGAACGGAAUUCCUGGUGUAGCGGUGAAAUGCGCAGAUAUCAGGAGGAACACCGGUGGCGAAGGCGGUUCUCUGGGCAUGAUCUGACGCUGAGGAGCGAAAGUGUGGGGAGCGAACAGG